AUUAAUAAAUUAAUUUUUUUAUUUUUUUUUAGGUUAAUGUGCCUUUUGCAUCAUGCUUAAUAGAUAAUUAAAAGUAAUUAACUUUAAAAUCGAAAAACUCAGAUUUCUUACAUAGUUGUUUUGAUAAUAAAUCGUGUAGAUACUUAUAAACUUUGUAAUCGAUAGUGAUAAAUAAAUCGUUGAGUUUUAUAGCUAUUUAAUGACUUAUAAAUUUAUAAUACCUUAUAAGCGAUGAUGUUUAUAAGAGAAAUAUAUUUCGGUUUUAUUUUUAUUAAAAAAAGGUUAAAAAUACUUAAUUUUUAUAAGAAUGUUACAAUUUUAGUUUAAAGUAUCAUGUUAAAUUAUUUAUAAAAGUCAUUUAUAAAAAUAUUUAGUAAAAUAUAAAUUAUUAAAUAAGUAAUAAUAAUAUAUUUAAUUGUUUCUCAAGUUUUGCCCGUCUGUUUAUUAAAAACAUUUCCAUAAUAAUAAAUUUUAUGGUAGUACCUGCUCUAUGUUCAUAUAAAUGGCCGCAGUAUUUUGACUGUGCGAAGGUAGCAUAAUUAAUUGCCUUAUAAUUGAAGGCUUGUCUGAAUGGUUUGACGUGGUAAAUACAAACAUUUAAUAUAUAAUUGAAAUUAAUUUUGGGGGCACAGAAUCCCCAAGUUUUAAUUAGACGGAAAGACCCCGGGAUCUUUUAUUUUUGCCUGGGGCAGGUAUAAAUUUUUCAUUUAUAUUGAGACCCUUAAAUAAAGUUUAAUGAGCUAAGUUACCCCGGGGAUAACAGUGUAAUAAUAUAUUAGAGACCAUAUCGAAUGUAUUGUUUGCUACCUCGAUGUUGACUUAGAUAAAUAUCUUAGGCGCAGUAGUUUAGGAUUUUGGUCUGUUCGACCUAAAUUAUCUCCAUGAGUUGAGUUAAGACCGGCGUGAGCCAGGUCGGUUCUUAUCUAUUUAUCUGAAUUAUUAGUACGAAAGGAUUGUAAUUCAUUUUUUU
This is a ribosomal RNA of 970 nucleotides. The stretch from base 647 to 928 matches the Rfam family "Archaeal large subunit ribosomal RNA", at positions 2151 to 2715 of the family's 2987-position model.